Long non-coding RNA from Oncorhynchus keta (chum salmon), 784 nucleotides. RefSeq lists it as uncharacterized. The record is from RefSeq and is a predicted model, not a curated record. NCBI's taxonomy places the organism in Eukaryota, Metazoa, Chordata, Actinopteri, Salmoniformes, Salmonidae. The transcript is spliced from 4 exons.
CCAGCCACUCUCUCAGUUCACAACCAACACCAGCCAGCCACUCUCUCGGUUCACAACCAACACCAGCCAGCCACUCUCUCAGUUCACAACCAACACCAGCCAGCCACUCUCUCGGUUCACAACCAACACCAGCCAGCCACUCUCUAGGUUCACAACCAACACCAGCCAGCCACUCUCUAGGUUCACAACCAACACCAGCCACUCUCUAGGUUCACAACCAACACCAGCCACUCUCUAGGUUCACAACCAACACCAGCCACUCUCUAGGUUCACAACCAACACCAGCCACUCUCUAGGUUCACAACCAACACCAGCCACUCUCUCAGUUCACAACCAACACCAGCCACUCUCUAGGUUCAUAACCAACACCAGCCACUCUCUAGGGUCAUAACCAACACCAGCCACUCUCUCAGUUCACAACCAACACCAGCCACUCUCUAGGUUCAUAACCAACACCAGCCACUCUCUAGGUUCACAACCAACACCAGCCACUCUCUCAGUUCACAACCAACACCAGCCACUCUCUAGGUUCAUAACCAACACCAGCCACUCUCUAGGGUCACAACCAACACCAGCCACUCUCUAGGGUCAUAACCAACACCAGCCACUCUCUAGGGUCAUAACCAACACCAGCCACUCUCUAGGGUCACAACCAACACCAGCCACUCUCUAGGUUCACAACCAACACCAGCCACUCUCUAGGUUCACAACCAACACCAGCCACUCUCUAGGUUCACAACCAACACCAGCCACUCUCUCAGCUCACAACCAACACCAGCCACUC